Long non-coding RNA from Vicia villosa (hairy vetch), 380 nucleotides. RefSeq lists it as uncharacterized. The transcript has 2 exons. NCBI's taxonomy places the organism in Eukaryota, Viridiplantae, Streptophyta, Magnoliopsida, Fabales, Fabaceae. The record is from RefSeq and is a predicted model, not a curated record.
GAGAUUGAUCGGCCGUUGUUGUUUUUCGGCGGAGCUAUGCUGAUUUCUGAAUGGUGGAAUCGUUGAAGGCUGCCGUCGAGACCAUGGGCUUGGGCACGCGGUAAUGAUGGUGCGUCGUGGAGAAGCAGAUCUGUAUUCGUAGCUGUGUUGUCGACAGAAACUUCGGUUGUGGUGCUGGUGAUGGCUGAAUCGGUGGAUGCACAGUGUUGUUCGUCACUUCUCCUCCUCCCUGCUAUUAUCUUCGGUAUGGUUAUGAUAUGGUGUAUUAGUGUCGACGUUUCCGAUCGCGAAGUCUGUUAUCCUUUCCAUCCUGCAAAACAAACAACAACAAAGAAACUUGUAUAAAUGUUAUAUUAUGAUGUUAAUUUUGUUGUGGUUUA